This 1366-nucleotide ribosomal RNA is filed under the name Halobacillus sp. YT222. Its description in RNAcentral is "16S ribosomal RNA". It matches the Rfam family "Bacterial small subunit ribosomal RNA", at positions 91 to 1442 of the family's 1533-position model. Lineage: Bacteria; Bacillati; Bacillota; Bacilli; Caryophanales; Bacillaceae. The record is from RNAcentral.
AUGAGCGGCGGACGGGUGAGUAACACGUGGGCAACCUGCCCGUAAGAUCGGAAUAACCCCGGGAAACCGGGGCUAAUGCCGGGUAAUACUUUCUUUCGCAUGAAGGAAAGUUGAAACAUGGCUUCUCGCUAUCACUUACAGAUGGGCCCGCGGCGCAUUAGCUAGUUGGUGAGGUAACGGCUCACCAAGGCGACGAUGCGUAGCCGACCUGAGAGGGUGAUCGGCCACACUGGGACUGAGACACGGCCCAGACUCCUACGGGAGGCAGCAGUAGGGAAUCUUCCGCAAUGGACGAAAGUCUGACGGAGCAACGCCGCGUGAACGAUGAAGGUCUUCGGAUCGUAAAGUUCUGUUGUUAGGGAAGAACAAGUACCGUGCGAAUAGAGCGGUACCUUGACGGUACCUAACGAGGAAGCCCCGGCUAACUACGUGCCAGCACCCGCGGUAAUACGUAGGGGGCAAGCGUUGUCCGGAAUUAUUGGGCGUAAGCGCGCGCAGGCGGUUCCUUAAGUCUGAUGUGAAAGCCCACGGCUCAUCCGUGGAGGGUCAUUGGAAACUGGGGAACUUGAGGACAGAAGAGGAGAGUGGAAUUCCACGUGUAGCGGUGAAAUGCGUAGAUAUGUGGAGGAACACCAGUGGCGAAGGCGACUCUCUGGUCUGUUUCUGACGCUGAGGUGCGAAAGCGUGGGUAGCAAACAGGAUUAGAUACCCUGGUAGUCCACGCCGUAAACGAUGAGUGCUAGGUGUUAGGGGGCUUCCACCCCUUAGUGCUGAAGUUAACGCAUUAAGCACUCCGCCUGGGGAGUACGGCCGCAAGGCUGAAACUCAAAGGAAUUGACGGGGGCCCGCACAAGCGGUGGAGCAUGUGGUUUAAUUCGAAGCAACGCGAAGAACCUUACCAGGUCUUGACAUCCUUGGACAAUCCUAGAGAUAGGACUUUCCCUUCGGGGACCAAGUGACAGGUGGUGCAUGGUUGUCGUCAGCUCGUGUCGUGAGAUGUUGGGUUAAGUCCCGCAACCAGCGCAACCCCUAAUCUUAGUUGCCAGCAUUCAGUUGGGCACUUCUAAGGUGACUGCCGGCGACAAACCGGAGGAAGGCGGGGAAGACGUCAAAUCAUCAUGCCCCUUAUGACAUGGGCUACACACGUGCUACAAUGGAUGGUACAAAGGGCAGCGAAGCCGCGAGGUGUAGCAAAUCCCAUAAAACCAUUCUCAGUUCGGAUUGCAGGCUGCAACUCGCCUGCAUGAAGCCGGAAUCGCUAGUAAUCGCGGAUCAGCAUGCCGCGGUGAAUACGUUCCCGGGCCUUGUACACACCGCCCGUCACACCACGAGAGUUGGCAACACCCGAAGUCGGUGAGGUAACCUU